This 253-nucleotide ribosomal RNA is filed under the name uncultured bacterium. RNAcentral describes it as "partial 16S ribosomal RNA". It matches the Rfam family "Bacterial small subunit ribosomal RNA", at positions 524 to 776 of the family's 1533-position model. The record is from RNAcentral.
UACAGAGGGUGCAAGCGUUAAUCGGAAUUACUGGGCGUAAAGCGAGCGUAGUCGGUUAUUUAAGUCGGAUGUGAAAGCCCCGGGCUCAACCUGGGAAUGGCAUUUGGGACUGCAAGGCUGGAGUAUGGCAGAGGAGACUAGAAUUCCUGGUGUAGCAGUGAAAUGCGUAGAUAUCAGGAGGAAUACCGAUGGCGAAGGCAGGUCUCUGGGCCAAUACUGACGCUCAUGCACGAAAGCGUGGGGAGCAAACAGG